CUGGAGUUGCUAGUAAUCGCGAAUCAGCAUGUCGCGGUGAAUACGUUCCCGGGCCUUGUACACACCGCCCGUCACACCAUGAGAGUUGGCAAUACCCAACGUACGUGAUCUAACCCGCAAGGGAGGAAGCGUCCUAAGGUAGGGUCAGCGAUUGGGGUGAAGUCGUAACAAGGUACC
RNAcentral lists this ribosomal RNA (177 nucleotides) under uncultured bacterium. RNAcentral describes it as "partial 16S ribosomal RNA". It matches the Rfam family "Bacterial small subunit ribosomal RNA", at positions 1326 to 1500 of the family's 1533-position model. The record is from RNAcentral.